CUUGUACUUCUUCCGACCCAUAUUACAUGUCGAAAUAUUACAUGUAUCUAGACGCUUUUUCAAAAUAGAUACAUCCAUAUUUGAGCAAAUUUGAGACACGUAAUAUGGGUCGGAGGGAGUAGAAA
Molecule: non-coding RNA, 125 nt
Organism: Brachypodium distachyon (stiff brome)
Lineage: Eukaryota; Viridiplantae; Streptophyta; Magnoliopsida; Poales; Poaceae
Source: Rfam